AACGAACGCUGGCGGCAUGCCUAACACAUGCAAGUCGAACGAGACCUUCGGGUCUAGUGGCGCACGGGUGCGUAACGCGGGGGAACCUGCCCUUAGGUUCGGAAUAACUCCCCGAAAGGGGUGCUAAUACCGGAUAAUGUCUUCGGACCAAAGAUUUAUCGCCUUUGGAUGGGCCCGCGUUUGAUUAGCUAGUUGGUAGGGUAAAAGCCUACCAAGGCGACGAUCCAUAGCUGGUCUGAGAGGAUGAUCAGCCACACUGGGACUGAGACACGGCCCAGACUCCUACGGGAGGCAGCAGUGGGGAAUAUUGGACAAUGGGCGAAAGCCUGAUCCAGCAAUGCCGCGUGAGUGAUGAAGGCCUUAGGGUUGUAAAGCUCUUUUACCCGGGAUGAUAAUGACAGUACCGGGAGAAUAAGCUCCGGCUAACUCCGUG
RNAcentral lists this ribosomal RNA (433 nucleotides) under uncultured bacterium. RNAcentral's name for it is "partial 16S ribosomal RNA". It matches the Rfam family "Bacterial small subunit ribosomal RNA", at positions 29 to 507 of the family's 1533-position model. The record is from RNAcentral.